Molecule: ribosomal RNA, 253 nt
Filed under: uncultured bacterium
Lineage: Bacteria
Description: partial 16S ribosomal RNA
Rfam family: Bacterial small subunit ribosomal RNA
Source: RNAcentral
UAUGUAGGGUGCGAGCGUUGUCCGGAAUUAUUGGGCGUAAAGGGCUCGUAGGCGGUUUGUCGCGUCGGGAGUGAAAUCAUCUGGCUUAACUGGGUGCUUGCUUUCGAUACGGGCAGACUAGAGGUAUGCAGGGGAGAACGGAAUUCCUGGUGUAGCGGUGAAAUGCGCAGAUAUCAGGAGGAACACCGGUGGCGAAGGCGGUUCUCUUGGCAUGAUCUGACGUUGAGGAGCGAAAGUGUGGGGAGCGAACAGG